This 253-nucleotide ribosomal RNA is filed under the name uncultured microorganism. Its description in RNAcentral is "partial small subunit ribosomal RNA". It matches the Rfam family "Bacterial small subunit ribosomal RNA", at positions 524 to 776 of the family's 1533-position model. The record is from RNAcentral.
UACGGAAUGUGCAAACGUUAUUCGGAAUCACUGGGCUUAAAGAGUCCGUAGGCGGCAUGUUAGGUGAGGUGUGAAAUCCCACGGCUCAACCGUGGAAUUGCGCUUCAAACCGGCGUGCUUGAGGAAGAUAGAGGUGGGCGGAACUGAUGGUGGAGCGGUGAAAUGCGUUGAUAUCAUCAGGAACACCGGAGGCGAAGGCGGCCCACUGGGUCUUUUCUGACGCCGAGGGACGAAAGCUAGGGGAGCGAACGGG